Molecule: long non-coding RNA, 2622 nt
Filed under: Manacus vitellinus (golden-collared manakin)
Lineage: Eukaryota; Metazoa; Chordata; Aves; Passeriformes; Pipridae
Description: lncRNA (ENSMVIG00005005142.1)
Source: RNAcentral
CUAAUUCCCAACUUUGUUAUAACAUUGUGGUGCAAUUUUUUUUUUUUGCAUCCAGUUACAUGGAAGCUCCGUUUUGUGGUGCCAGUUUGGGACACUCAUUUCUAGGACUUAGUUCUACCCAGAAACCACCGGACAAAGGCAGGGAUGUUGCUCAGGGACAGCCUUACAGUGAGAUAUGUUGUAAGACAGGCUUUUCUUUCCCGCUGGCUCCAGCUUUGCGGCUCUGAGCUGCUGCCCUCUGCAGAGCGCGCUGCAGGAAGCGGGGCUCCAGGGACACCGCCGCACGUGACGAGCCCACGUCCGCCUCUGCCAGGAAGGAGCCCACAGCCCUGCUCAGCACAUGAAGACAAACCCUUCUUGGUUAUUGCAUAGCUGCACCAGCUCUCAGCCACCAGCAAAAGGCUUUGGAACUAUAUCAAUGUUAUUUUAUAGCUCUACCCAUGAGGACAUCACCACAAUGGGUAUCCAGUGUCCUCCUACAUCGUCAGGAAUCUUCAGCAUUGGAGAGAAAAGUCUUCCCCCUCUUACUGCUGAGCUGUUCCUCUUGAUACAUUUUGAUGUCCCCCGGUCAAUCUGUGCCCCAUACCAUGUAUACAUGUCCUAUUGUUCCCUACACUGCAAUGCUCUCCUGUUUUUCCCAAAUGUUGUUACAUUUCCGUUCUCAUUCUUGUGUUUUUCAUCUCUUUCCCAUUUGUAUAAUGCAUCUACUGUCUCUGUUGUUUUCCACUUCUAAUUUAAUACCACUGGUGAAUUUGUCUCUCUAUGCAGAUCAUUAAAAACAGGCUAUGUGGGACUGCUUGUAAAAGAAAACACUGCAUUCCCAAGAUAGGUUACACACUAGUGUGUAUCAAUACUCUUUGUUUUGGAACUUUUAGCUUUGUUUAGUACUUAGAUGCAGAGUGAUCUCUGGAUCCCUUGUUUGCUACUUUAGUGUGAGAAUAGAAGGAACACAAAUUCAAAAGUUGCAGGACUAGAAAGGACCUGUGCAGCCCUAGGGAAAGGGCAGUUUGCCAUGUAAGCAAAGCAAAAAACCAAAUUAACAAAAUCUGAGCCCAGCCACAAAACCAGUCCGUCCCCAGCCUGUGGGCAGCUGGGGGAAGUCCUUUCCUCCUUCCCACCCUCUCUACAAUCUGUUUCAACUCACCAUUGUGCUCAGUGGCUGUAGAGCUGGCAGAAAUGGAUGUGUGCCUGAAAUACCACCAAGAGUGAAAGGCCAAGCUGGCACACCUGUGAUGUAAGGGGAGAGGAGUUCUGCUUCUGUGAGAAGCCAGGAGUCAUGUGAUUGCCUUAAUCCAGCCCUGAUCUCUGUGGCUGGUUCAGACAAAAGGAGCAUUUGUGUGCUGAGGUGGGUGGCCGAGUUGGAUGAGGGAACAGAUCCAACUGCAAGCUCCACACUGCCUCAUCAGGCCAACCUGAAUACCAGUAUUGACACAAAGGAGGGAGUUGCUGGGGCAGGAAGGGAAGAUGGGUUGACACAGACUGAGCAAUGUCACCACAGGGUCAGUGAAGAGUGAGGCUCUUGGUGCAUGAGUCUCUUCCUGGUGCCUGGUUUUAGGAUGUAGAUGGCAUUGCUGUGCCUGUGAGGUCUGUACGUGUCAGUUGAUGCCCAGGGUAAAUCUGUGCCCAUGUGUUAAAGCAGCAUUGGACUGACAGACCCAUCCCUUCAUUUUGCUUGUGCUCCCUGCUGGAGUGUUUUCACUAGGAAAGCUCUCAUUCUCAGCCCUGUGUUAGACAGGGGCAGAUGGGCUCAUAGUUGCAGCUCUGACUGGGUUAAAGGAUGGCCUUGGGCAGCAGCAGGAAUUCUGAAAGCCCCUGCAGGCUGCAUCUCCUGGCACAGAAUCCCUUCGCCCUUGGCCCUCCUAGGCUGCAGUGCAGGAGGCAGCCAGCAUUGCCCGGAUGGUAGUUUUAACUCUUUGUUACCUAAAAUUCAGACAGUGUCAAAGCAACACAGCAGUAAACAAACCACUGGCCUCUUUCUACAGUCACGUCCCUUGUGUUGCCCCUGCUACUAGUGUUAAUAAUGUUGUGUGCAAUUUCCCAAGCAUAGACUGGGAAUUGGGGAGUGUAAAGUGUGCCUCAAGGGGCUGGUAGCAGCAGUGAGUGUUUGAGGCUGGAUAAUACCCACUGGUGCUGCAUGAACUUACUGUCAGAUAACUCUGUGUAGAUAGUGUUUAGCCUUGGUCAACAGUAUGACUGUAAACUGAAGCAAAUAACUCUGUCCUGAUUACAUUUUCUAGAGGGGAUGAUGCAGAAGGAAAUUGAAUUAAAAAUUAGCUUUGAAAUGAGCUCAAAGCUUUUUACCAACCACUUCGAACUUUAAAAUAUCUGACAUGAACAAAGUAACUUUUUUGAAGUAAUAGUAAACUGCCAUCUGCUGGUAAAACAGUAAUGCACAUAAUGAACAUACAGACUUAUGAAGUGAUAAUUAUUUUGUAUUUGACAUGCGACAGUCAAAUAUAUACAUGACAGGGAAGCUGCAUAUAUUUAUUUUACUGGUGUUUUUUAUUUCCAUUUGCAUUUUCAUAUAGAAUAUGCUAAACAGAUGCCUAUAACAUAACUAACUUUAAUGACAAGCGCAGAAAACCAGACAAUGAGAAUAAAGAAUGAGGACUAAUAAAAGCA